Molecule: ribosomal RNA, 455 nt
Filed under: Ateleute ashaninka
Lineage: Eukaryota; Metazoa; Arthropoda; Insecta; Hymenoptera; Ichneumonidae
Description: partial 16S large subunit ribosomal RNA
Source: RNAcentral
UAAUCUGCUCAAUGAAUUAUUAAAUAGCUGCAUUAUUUUAAUUGUACAAAGGUAGCAUAAUCAGUAGUUUUUUAAUUGAAAGCUGGAAUGAAGGAUUGAAUGAAAUAUUAAUUGUCUCAAAUUUAAUAAUAAUAGAAUUUUUUAUUAGUUAAAAAACUAAUAUAUAUUUAAAAGACGAGAAGACCCUAUAGAUUUUUAUAAUUUAAUAUGUGAAUUAAUGUGAUAUAAUUUAAAUUUUAUAAAUUGAAUUAUUUGAUUGGGGUAAUUUAUAAAUUAAGAAAAUUAUAUUUAAUAUUAUACAUUGAUUAAUGGUAAAUAGAUCUUACAUUAUGGAUAAAAAGAAUAAAAUACCUUAGGGAUAACAGCGUAAUAUUUUUGGAGAGAUCAUAUUAAUAAAAAAGAUUGCGACCUCGAUGKUGAAUUAAAAUAAAAUUAUAAUGGAGAAAUUAUAAAUU